Molecule: ribosomal RNA, 292 nt
Filed under: uncultured bacterium
Lineage: Bacteria
Description: partial 16S ribosomal RNA
Rfam family: Bacterial small subunit ribosomal RNA
Source: RNAcentral
GUGCCAGCAGCCGCGGUAAGACGUAGGGCGCGAGCGUUGUCCGGAUUUAUUGGGCGUAAAGAGCUCGUAGGCGGCUUGUCGCGUCGACCGUGAAAACUUGGGGCUCAACCCCAAGCCUGCGGUCGAUACGGGCAGGCUAGAGUUCGGUAGGGGAGACUGGAAUUCCUGGUGUAGCGGUGAAAUGCGCAGAUAUCAGGAGGAACACCGGUGGCGAAGGCGGGUCUCUGGGCCGAUACUGACGCUGAGGAGCGAAAGCGUGGGGAGCGAACAGGAUUAGAUACCCUCGUAGUCC